RNAcentral lists this ribosomal RNA (2928 nucleotides) under Salmonella enterica subsp. enterica serovar Enteritidis str. EC20120496. RNAcentral describes it as "bacterial LSU rRNA". It matches the Rfam family "Bacterial large subunit ribosomal RNA". Lineage: Bacteria; Pseudomonadati; Pseudomonadota; Gammaproteobacteria; Enterobacterales; Enterobacteriaceae. The record is from RNAcentral.
GGGUUGUGAGGUUAAGCGACUAAGCGUACACGGUGGAUGCCCUGGCAGUCAGAGGCGAUGAAGGGCGUGCUAAUCUGCGAUAAGCGCCGGUAAGGUGAUAUGAACCGUUAUAACCGGCGAUACCCGAAUGGGGAAACCCAGUGUGAUUCGUCACACUAUCAUUAACUGAAUCCAUAGGUUAAUGAGGCGAACCGGGGGAACUGAAACAUCUAAGUACCCCGAGGAAAAGAAAUCAACCGAGAUUCCCCCAGUAGCGGCGAGCGAACGGGGAGGAGCCCAGAGCCUGAAUCAGCAUGUGUGUUAGUGGAAGCGUCUGGAAAGGCGCGCGAUACAGGGUGACAGCCCCGUACACAAAAGCGCAUGUGCUGUGAGCUCGAUGAGUAGGGCGGGACACGUGGUAUCCUGUCUGAAUAUGGGGGGACCAUCCUCCAAGGCUAAAUACUCCUGACUGACCGAUAGUGAACCAGUACCGUGAGGGAAAGGCGAAAAGAACCCCGGCGAGGGGAGUGAAAAAGAACCUGAAACCGUGUACGUACAAGCAGUGGGAGNNNNNNNNNNNNNNNNUGACUGCGUACCUUUUGUAUAAUGGGUCAGCGACUUAUAUUCUGUAGCAAGGUUAACCGAAUAGGGGAGCCGGAGGGAAACCGAGUCUUAAUUGGGCGUUAAGUUGCAGGGUAUAGACCCGAAACCCGGUGAUCUAGCCAUGGGCAGGUUGAAGGUUGGGUAACACUAACUGGAGGACCGAACCGACUAAUGUUGAAAAAUUAGCGGAUGACCUGUGGCUGGGGGUGAAAGGCCAAUCAAACCGGGAGAUAGCUGGUUCUCCCCGAAAGCUAUUUAGGUAGCGCCUCGUGAAUUCAUCUCCGGGGGUAGAGCACUGUUUCGGCUAGGGGGCCAUCCCGGCUUACCAACCCGAUGCAAACUGCGAAUACCGGAGAAUGUUAUCACGGGAGACACACGGCGGGUGCUAACGUCCGUCGUGAAGAGGGAAACAACCCAGACCGCCAGCUAAGGUCCCAAAGUCAUGGUUAAGUGGGAAACGAUGUGGGAAGGCCCAGACAGCCAGGAUGUUGGCUUAGAAGCAGCCAUCAUUUAAAGAAAGCGUAAUAGCUCACUGGUCGAGUCGGCCUGCGCGGAAGAUGUAACGGGGCUAAACCAUGCACCGAAGCUGCGGCAGCGACACUGUGUGUUGUUGGGUAGGGGAGCGUUCUGUAAGCCUGUGAAGGUGUGUCGUGAGGCAUGCUGGAGGUAUCAGAAGUGCGAAUGCUGACAUAAGUAACGAUAAAGCGGGUGAAAAGCCCGCUCGCCGGAAGACCAAGGGUUCCUGUCCAACGUUAAUCGGGGCAGGGUGAGUCGACCCCUAAGGCGAGGCCGAAAGGCGUAGUCGAUGGGAAACGGGUUAAUAUUCCCGUACUUGGUGUUACUGCGAAGGGGGGACGGAGAAGGCUAUGUUGGCCGGGCGACGGUUGUCCCGGUUUAAGCGUGUAGGUGUGUGUUCCAGGUAAAUCCGGUUCACUUUAACACUGAGGCGUGACGACGAGGCACUACGGUGCUGAAGCAACAAAUGCCCUGCUUCCAGGAAAAGCCUCUAAGCAUCAGGUAACAUCAAAUCGUACCCCAAACCGACACAGGUGGUCAGGUAGAGAAUACCAAGGCGCUUGAGAGAACUCGGGUGAAGGAACUAGGCAAAAUGGUGCCGUAACUUCGGGAGAAGGCACGCUGACACGUAGGUGAAGUGAUUUACUCAUGGAGCUGAAGUCAGUCGAAGAUACCAGCUGGCUGCAACUGUUUAUUAAAAACACAGCACUGUGCAAACACGAAAGUGGACGUAUACGGUGUGACGCCUGCCCGGUGCCGGAAGGUUAAUUGAUGGGGUCAGCGCAAGCGAAGCUCCUGAUCGAAGCCCCGGUAAACGGCGGCCGUAACUAUAACGGUCCUAAGGUAGCGAAAUUCCUUGUCGGGUAAGUUCCGACCUGCACGAAUGGCGUAAUGAUGGCCAGGCUGUCUCCACCCGAGACUCAGUGAAAUUGAACUCGCUGUGAAGAUGCAGUGUACCCGCGGCAAGACGGAAAGACCCCGUGAACCUUUACUAUAGCUUGACACUGAACAUUGAGCCUUGAUGUGUAGGAUAGGUGGGAGGCUUUGAAGUGUGGACGCCAGUCUGCAUGGAGCCGACCUUGAAAUACCACCCUUUAAUGUUUGAUGUUCUAACGUGGACCCGUUACCCGGGUUGCGGACAGUGUCUGGUGGGUAGUUUGACUGGGGCGGUCUCCUCCUAAAGAGUAACGGAGGAGCACGAAGGUUGGCUAAUCCUGGUCGGACAUCAGGAGGUUAGUGCAAUGGCAUAAGCCAGCUUGACUGCGAGCGUGACGGCGCGAGCAGGUGCGAAAGCAGGUCAUAGUGAUCCGGUGGUUCUGAAUGGAAGGGCCAUCGCUCAACGGAUAAAAGGUACUCCGGGGAUAACAGGCUGAUACCGCCCAAGAGUUCAUAUCGACGGCGGUGUUUGGCACCUCGAUGUCGGCUCAUCACAUCCUGGGGCUGAAGUAGGUCCCAAGGGUAUGGCUGUUCGCCAUUUAAAGUGGUACGCGAGCUGGGUUUAGAACGUCGUGAGACAGUUCGGUCCCUAUCUGCCGUGGGCGCUGGAGAACUGAGGGGGGCUGCUCCUAGUACGAGAGGACCGGAGUGGACGCAUCACUGGUGUUCGGGUUGUCAUGCCAAUGGCACUGCCCGGUAGCUAAAUGCGGAAGAGAUAAGUGCUGAAAGCAUCUAAGCACGAAACUUGCCCCGAGAUGAGUUCUCCCUGAGACUUAGAGUCUCCUGAAGGAACGUUGAAGACGACGACGUUGAUAGGCCGGGUGUGUAAGCGCAGCGAUGCGUUGAGCUAACCGGUACUAAUGAACCGUGAGGCUUAACCUUACAACGCCGAAG